This 407-nucleotide ribosomal RNA is filed under the name uncultured Chloroflexota bacterium. Its description in RNAcentral is "bacterial SSU rRNA". It matches the Rfam family "Bacterial small subunit ribosomal RNA", at positions 521 to 926 of the family's 1533-position model. Lineage: Bacteria; Bacillati; Chloroflexota. The record is from RNAcentral.
UAACACGUAGGAGACUAGCGUUAUCCGGAUUUACUGGGCGUAAAGCGCGUGCAGGUGGCUCGGAAAGUUCGAUGUGAAAGCUCCCGGCUUAACUGGGAGAGGUCGUUGAAUACUUUCGGGCUAGAGGAUGGGAGAGGGAGGCGGAAUUCCGGGUGUAGUGGUGAAAUGCGUAGAUAUCCGGAGGAACACCAGUGGCGAAAGCGGCCUCCUGGCCCAUUUCUGACACUCAGACGCGAAAGCUAGGGUAGCAAACGGGAUUAGAGACCCCGGUAGUCCUAGCUGUAAACGAUGUAGACUUGGCGUUGGCGGGUUCAAAUCCGUCAGUGCCGAAGCUAACGCGAUAAGUCUACCGCCUGGGGACUACGGCCGCAAGGUUAAAACUCAAAGGAAUUGACGGGGCCCCGCAC